AGUGGGGAAUAUUGGACAAUGGGGGCAACCCUGAUCCAGCCAUGCCGCGUGAGUGAUGAAGGCCCUAGGGUUGUAAAGCUCUUUCAGCGAGGAGGAUAAUGACGUUACUCGCAGAAGAAGCCCCGGCUAACUUCGUGCCAGCAGCCGCGGUAAUACGAAGGGGGCUAGCGUUGUUCGGAAUCACUGGGCGUAAAGCGCACGUAGGCGGACUUUUAAGUCAGGGGUGAAAUCCCGGGGCUCAACCUCGGAACUGCCUUUGAUACUGGAAGUCUUGAGUCCGAGAGAGGUGAGUGGAACUCCGAGUGUAGAGGUGAAAUUCGUAGAUAUUCGGAAGAACACCAGUGGCGAAGGCGGCUCACUGGCUCGGUACUGACGCUGAGGUGCGAAAGCGUGGGGAGCAAA
This 402-nucleotide ribosomal RNA is filed under the name uncultured Paracoccaceae bacterium. RNAcentral's name for it is "bacterial SSU rRNA". It matches the Rfam family "Bacterial small subunit ribosomal RNA", at positions 353 to 772 of the family's 1533-position model. The record is from RNAcentral. Lineage: Bacteria; Pseudomonadati; Pseudomonadota; Alphaproteobacteria; Rhodobacterales; Paracoccaceae.